Molecule: ribosomal RNA, 1029 nt
Filed under: Microbacterium oleivorans
Lineage: Bacteria; Bacillati; Actinomycetota; Actinomycetes; Micrococcales; Microbacteriaceae
Description: bacterial SSU rRNA
Rfam family: Bacterial small subunit ribosomal RNA
Source: RNAcentral
AGGGAAAGUGACGGUACCUGCAGAAAAAGCGCCGGCUAACUACGUGCCAGCAGCCGCGGUAAUACGUAGGGCGCCAGCGUUAUCCGGAAUUAUUGGGCGUAAAGAGCUCGUAGGCGGUUUGUCGCGUCUGCUGUGAAAUCCCGAGGCUCAACCUCGGGUCUGCAGUGGGUACGGGCAGACUAGAGUGCGGUAGGGGAGAUUGGAAUUCCUGGUGUAGCGGUGGAAUGCGCAGAUAUCAGGAGGAACACCGAUGGCGAAGGCAGAUCUCUGGGCCGUUACUGACGCUGAGGAGCGAAAGGGUGGGGAGCAAACAGGCUUAGAUACCCUGGUAGUCCACCCCGUAAACGUUGGGAACUAGUUGUGGGGUCCAUUCCACGGAUUCCGUGACGCAGCUAACGCAUUAAGUUCCCCGCCUGGGGAGUACGGCCGCAAGGCUAAAACUCAAAGGAAUUGACGGGGACCCGCACAAGCGGCGGAGCAUGCGGAUUAAUUCGAUGCAACGCGAAGAACCUUACCAAGGCUUGACAUACACGAGAACGGGCCAGAAAUGGUCAACUCUUUGGACACUCGUGAACAGGUGGUGCAUGGUUGUCGUCAGCUCGUGUCGUGAGAUGUUGGGUUAAGUCCCGCAACGAGCGCAACCCUCGUUCUAUGUUGCCAGCACGUAAUGGUGGGAACUCAUGGGAUACUGCCGGGGUCAACUCGGAGGAAGGUGGGGAUGACGUCAAAUCAUCAUGCCCCUUAUGUCUUGGGCUUCACGCAUGCUACAAUGGCCGGUACAAAGGGCUGCAAUACCGCGAGGUGGAGCGAAUCCCAAAAAGCCGGUCCCAGUUCGGAUUGAGGUCUGCAACUCGACCUCAUGAAGUCGGAGUCGCUAGUAAUCGCAGAUCAGCAACGCUGCGGUGAAUACGUUCCCGGGUCUUGUACACACCGCCCGUCAAGUCAUGAAAGUCGGUAACACCUGAAGCCGGUGGCCCAACCCUUGUGGAGGGAGCCGUCGAAGGUGGGAUCGGUAAUUAGGACUAAGUC